This 510-nucleotide ribosomal RNA is filed under the name uncultured bacterium. Its description in RNAcentral is "partial 16S ribosomal RNA". It matches the Rfam family "Bacterial small subunit ribosomal RNA", at positions 28 to 507 of the family's 1533-position model. The record is from RNAcentral.
GACGAACGCUGGCGGCGUGCUUAACACAUGCAAGUCGAACGAAGAGCGAUGGAAGCUUGCUUCUAUCAAUCUUAGUGGCGAACGGGUGAGUAACGCGUAAUCAACCUGCCCUUCAGAGGGGGACAACAGUUGGAAACGACUGCUAAUACCGCAUACGAUCUAAUCUCGGCAUCGAGGAUAGAUGAAAGGUGGCCUCUACAUGUAAGCUAUCACUGAAGGAGGGGAUUGCGUCUGAUUAGCUAGUUGGAGGGGUAACGGCCCACCAAGGCGAUGAUCAGUAGCCGGUCUGGGAGGAUGAACGGCCACAUUGGGACUGAGACACGGCCCAGACUCCUACGGGAGGCAGCAGUGGGGAAUCUUCCGCAAUGGACGAAAGGCUGACGGAGCAACGCCGCGUGAGUGAUGACGGCCUUCGGGUUGUAAAGCUCUGUUAAUCGGGACGAAAGGCCUUCUUGCGAAUAGUGAGAAGGAUUGACGGUACCGGAAUAGAAAGCCACGGCUAACUACGUG